Molecule: non-coding RNA, 141 nt
Filed under: Lotharella globosa
Lineage: Eukaryota; Cercozoa; Chlorarachniophyceae
Source: RNAcentral
ACAAGAAAAGAAAAGCAAAGAAAAACACAAAGAAAAAAAAGAGAAUGAUUUGUCGUGUUUUGGGGAGAGAGACGCGCAAGUUUUUUCGGUUUCUCAUAUUUUCUUUUAUGCUUCUUUUUCUCUUCUUCUUCUUUUCUUCUU